CUAACCUUGUCAACAAGCAGUCAUGGACUCCUUGUGCCACAGCUGGUUCUCCGGCCAGACCCUCAUGCUCCAAAUGAGCCUCCAUCUCGGUGGCCGGCCCCAUGACCUAGUGGUUAAGUUUGGUGCACUCUGCUGUGGCAUCCAGGGCAGUUCCCACGCGUGGAUCUACACCACUCAUUGCCGGACAUGCUGUGGCACUGACCCACAUACAAAAUAGAAGACUGGCACAGAGGUUCCCAGACUGUCAAAGACCCCAGCUCGUCCUGCACGUUGCAAAGGACCGUGGGGGGAUCUGUGCAGCUGCAACUGACCUCCUCCUCAUCUCCUGAUGUCCGAGAGAUUGAGUGGAUUCGGGAUUCUGGUGAUGAGAGAGAUUUGAUCCUGGUGUCCUGGAAACCUGAUACCUAUACUCCUGAAUGUAUGGCCUUGAAGAAAAAUGCAAACACAGAUUCAGCCUAACAGAGCUGGCUUUCUUGAUCAUCAGAAAUCUCAGUAUGGAAAUGAGUGGACUGUACACAGUGAAAAUCAAGUUCCAGUCUGGAAAAUCCCAGGAGGAAGCCUUCAGGCUCUGUUUAUACAGUAAGGUUUGUAGGGACCAUGCCCCACACAGGCAUUCUGACAACCACUUUGUCUAAAGCAAGUUAGACUAGAAUUGGGUAAAAAAAAAAAAGGAAAAAAAAACAUUUUUCAGGAGUUUUGCAUUUCUUCUCAUGCGCUAAAGAUAAAACUAAAUUUUAAAGAUUACACUCCAGGAAAAAAUAUUUAUAAUUUCUUAAAAAAGUAUAAAAUAUACAUGAAAUGAGGGAGGCAGAAGGAGCCACUGAAAAGGAUAAAAAAAUAGUUUCUUCAAUCAUAAAAAUACUGCAAAAUUGAUUAUAAGAAAUAUGCAAUUAUAUCAAAAAUGUCCUGAAUUGGUUGAUUGAAAACCUGAUUUCAAAAUGUUUAAAUGACCCAAAAAGUUGGCAACACCAAAGCAACAAAACAGGACACAAAAAAGAUGAAAUAAAAAUGCCAAGAAGGAGAUUGAUGAUAGGACGAGUCAUUAGGUAAAACACUUUGAGACCAAUUGACCUGAAGUCCAGCUGCAGAGAUCUCAGGACAAAGCUCUGUCCCGCUCUGUCCAAGUCAAAGACGCAGGAGGAGACCCAGCCGCUGUGCCCUGGAGCUCUCAGGCCAAUGGGGAGCCCAACACCCUGCCCCAGGAAGCAGAGAACCUGCGCAGACGUGCAGUGGAGAAAGCAGAAAAAAGGGAGGAGGGGGAGUAGAGCCUGAGGGCCAUCCAACCUGCCAGAGUUCUUGCCCAUUGCUCCUCUCUGCCUCCACCCUCCGUCUCCUCUGCUUGGGUGAUCCCAGCAGCCUCCUAACGGGCCUCCCUGCCUGUUGUCUCUUCCUCCUUCCAAAUCACCCUCCAACCAGCUGAUAUUUGGAUCUGUUUAAAAAUGCAGUACUCUUCCUGUUAUUCCCCUGCUUAAAACCAAAUAAUGCUUCUUGUCCCCACCCCCACAGGAUAAUGGCACUCAGGAAAAGUCCAGCCCCACACAGGAUCUGGUCCUUGCCUGCCUCAUUUCCCAACACUUUCCCUCAUGGGCCAUGCUCCAAAUUAGCUACCCUUCACUCACCCACCGGGCCCUUUCUCUUCUCCUGGACAUAUGAUGGUGGCUCUCCAGGGGACAUCCAUCUCCCACGUUUCCCCUGCACAACUGGCAAAUCCUCACCCAGUGGGAGCAGGGGAAGGGUGAGGGACUCAACAUGGGGGAUGGGAACGCUUGUAAGAAGAGACUGGGGAGACUGGCUUGACUGUCCAAGCUGGGGUUUUCCAUUGGUGAAGGGUGGGGAAUACACCCGCUGCCCCCCCGGCCUCCAGCUCCUGAUUCCUGAUCUUGUCUCUGUCCUCCUUGGCUGAUAAAUUCCUUGCAUAGCUUUCUCAGUGACAUCAUAUUGGUACAGUCUCAUCCUAUCUCUUUUGGCAGCAAGAAAUGGAAACCUACUCAAAUUAGGUCAAUGAAGAGGUUUUCAUUAUAAAGACACAUAGGUUUUUGCUCCAUGACACAGCAGUUAAGCUUGCACGUUCCACUUCAGCAGGCUGGGGUUCACCGGUUAGGAUCCUGGGUGUGGACAUGGCACUGUUCAGCAAGCCAUGCUGUGGUAGGCGUCCCACAUAUAAAGUAGAGGAAGAUGAGCGUGGAUGUUACCUCAGGGCCAGUCUUCCUCAGAGAAAACAGAGGAGGAUUAGCAGCAGAUCUCUAGGAGGAAGAUGCAUACAGGAGCUCCUCUGGCCCUCAUGCUCAGGGACUGGAAAGCUGAUGGGCUCUCUCUCCUCUCUGUCAGGGACUGUAUCGUCUCUCAUCUUUGCUCUCAGUGUCUCUCUCUCUCUCUUUUUCCUAUUCUCCUGGGCUUCUCCACACGGUAGGGAACAUGGCCUUCUGCAGCUAUGGGUCCCGCUGGAUCAGACAGCAAAGGGACUUUCCUGGUUCACUCCACAUGGAAAAUCCAGGGAAGGACCCUUGUUGGCUGGUCUUGGGUCACAAGGCCACCCCCAGAUGGCUCACUGGCCAGAGGAAUAGUAGAUUCUAUUGGCAAGGCCUGGGAAUGUGCCCUCCCCUGUAACCAGGAUUAGGGUGCUAUGAUUAACAUAAUAUCAAAAACAAGGUUGGAGCAGAAUAGAAUUUGCUGAAAGAAGAAGUGCUACUAGCUGGUUUCCUUUAGCCUUGUUUUCCAUUCCCUGACAUCCCAUCAAUGCCCAAGUUCAGUCUUCCAACAACACUCGCUCUCUCCCCAUCACCUGUAGGACUAAGUACUCAUCACAGCAUUAGGCCCUCCACCAACUGACGCCGUCAUUCCAGCCUUGUUUCCAGCCAAACAUAUUGUGCCUCAAAUACAGCCUCUCUCUCCCUCAUGGCUUUCAGAACUGCCAUGGCCUAAGAAAAUGAUUUUCUGAUCCAUAUUAAAUGAAUAUUUCCAUUUUGAAGUCCCAAAGUUCUUUCUCCUAGUUCUCCUGCAGAUCGUGUUUCUGUCUGCCUUGCACUACCAUUGUUUGUGUGUGGUCCACUCUCCACUUGAGAGCGGGGUCCGUGCCCUGCUCUCCUUGGCAUCUGCCCAGUGUUUUCUACAGCUCUCAGCAGGCCUUCAGGAAGUACUGUAUUCCUGUAACCAGAUAGAGUUAAGCAAUAUUUAAAGGAUACCUACAGAAACACACCUACUUUUUCUAGGAUUUUUGAUUAUUCAAGCCUGAUUACUAUUCCUUCACCUCUUGAAAAGAGCAGAAUAAAGAUUCAUGUAAACCAAUUAUUGAGUGAAUACUCUAAAUGCCUAAGAGCAUGAGCUUUCUAAACACCCGUCUGUGCUUCCUUACUCUGUGUAGCAGACAGUCUAUUUGGUUUUAUAUUUAAAUUAUUAUCUGUUCAUUAAGUCAGAUCUUUCAAAAAGAUAAGUAAAUAUCAUUUUCCCCAGACACAUGUUCAAACAGUCUUGAGGAGGGCCCACACAUUUGUAUUUUUAAUAACUGCCCAAGAUCAGGACCUGGUAAACUAUACCCAUUGGUCAAAUCCAGCCCAGUGUCUGUUUUUAUACAUAAAGUUUUAUUGGAACACAGCCACAUCCAUUCAUUAACAUGUUGUGUUUGGCUCCUUUUGUGCUAUAACGUCAAAGUUGUGUAGUUGUGACAGAGCCCAUAUGGCUGGUGAAACCUAAAAUAUUUGCUAUCUGACCCUUUACAGAAAAGUUUGCCUCCCCUGCCUAGAUGAAUCUACUGACAGCUGAUCCAGGUAACUUCAGAGGUUAACAUGAGGAUUAAAUGAGUCCAUGUAAACCCUUGGAGCCAUGACUGGAAAUGCAUACCUGCUCAAUGAGUGCUAGCUGUGGUUUUCUUUUCAUCUGCUAAUGGAGUAAAUUACAUUAAUAAAUUUCUGGAUUACACUAACUUUGUAUUCCUAUAAUAAACCCAACUUGAUCAUGA
Equus caballus (horse) is the source of this 3955-nucleotide non-coding RNA. NCBI's taxonomy places the organism in Eukaryota, Metazoa, Chordata, Mammalia, Perissodactyla, Equidae. The record is from RefSeq and is a predicted model, not a curated record.